CACCAUUCUUCAAACUUCCGAACUCAUUAUUGCUACGGUAAAUACUCGGGUCAAAGCCACCGUAAAGGGACGAUUCAGACAUGCCAUAAUUACCUCCACCUAGGUUGGACAUUGAAUAGCUAGUUUCUCCAACCGUAGGAUAAAUGUAAUGGGCAGUUGGAUCCAUCAUACCAGUGUAAUUAUUUCCAUAAUCAUUACAGUUUCUUCCGGUCGGUAUAGCAUAUCUAUCGUUGUCUAUUCCGAGACCAGUACCACUAGAACUAGCACCAUUGAUAUCCAUACGCAUCCGUUUAUUUGGCGGUUGUUGCGCAAGUGGUGGUUGUCUUUGUUGUAUUGGUUGAUGUGCCUGUUGCGGUUGUUGCGUCUGCUGUGAUAGAGAGUUAUUUGAUCUCUCUCUUUCUGACUCUCGAUACUUCUCCAGAUAAAUCUAAUGGAACAAAAUACAUUCGAAAAGAGAUUUAAUAAUUAAGAUAAUGUCUGAUAGUUUGUGAAAUAUUGUGUUAAUUGUGAUCAAACGAGAUGAACCUUUAGAGGAAUAGUAUAUGAAUCAAAGUCGAGGCGGUACAUGGACCAAAGAAGGUCAUCGCCGUUGAUAGUUUUACGUUUCUCACUGUGACACUUUUCAGACGCUUCGCCGGUGAUAAAACUAACAAACUCCGAUACACAUUCUUGAAUCGUUUCUUUGGCUUCUUUCGAGAUCUUGGCAUUUAUCGGUAAAGCUCUCUUCAUGAUCCGGCUCACAUUUGCUAUUGGAAGAAAUCGAUCACUUCGGGAUGCAUCCCUUCCGGGAUUACUAUUAGAUGAACUCCCGACCAUUGGAUUAUUGGUUGCAAGCUUCCUUCAAUUCAGUUGUUCACGCCUUCAGAUGUUCCUCUGACAUGGUUUGUGAAAAGAAUUUAUAAGAAUGUUUAAACCUAUUCCCAAAAUUCUUGUCCACCCAUAAAAUAGAAAUUUCAAUGUCCUGUCCACCAAUAGAUUUUUUUUUAGCUAUCAAUAGUUUUCUUUAACUAUCAACCACCUAAUUUUGAUGCAAUAUAGAUAUUAUUGACUAAUAAUCCAAAUUAUGUACUUUGUCGACACUAAGGUGUCAAACGAGCUGAGCUUUGGCUUAUUGAGCUAGGCUCGGGCUCAGCUCGUUAAGGAGUAAUCCAGGCUCGAGCUCGGGCUCGGCUCGUUAAUGAUUUGCCGAUACCGAGCCCUUGCCGAAGUCAUCGAGUCAAGAUUUAUUUGACACCCUAGUCGACGCUAAUCGUUUUGUCCAAUGUCUAUUACGAAAUUCGGUCAUAUUUUCCGAAGCGGGUAUCGUGGCAAGACAUUCUCGAGUUUGGCCCAGUCUUCAUAGACCGAGACUCACUCGAAACUCGAAAUUUUCUAUGAAAAAUCCGUCUUAAAAUAUAAAUGAAAUUAAUUUAACCAAUUACUCUCUAAUUAAUUUAAAUUCAUCAAUUAACCCAUUUUUAAUUUAUCUAAUUUACCUCUGUUUAUUUUUUAGGGCAGGUUUCCUAUACUGAUUAAAAAAUAAAAUUUUGGAUGACCAAUUCAUAUUGAUUAUAAAAACUAGCUUAUAAAAAUUCAAUACAUUCACUCCAUACAAUAAUUAAUAUUCAAUACAUUAAUUAAUAUUCAAAUUAAAAAUAAACACAUUUAUUUAAUUAACAAUAAAAAUUUCAAGAAAAUUAAUGAUUAUUUCAAUAUCCUAUGACGAGGACACAUAUCAUUAAAUAUUUUUAAAAUGACUUCAUUGUCUAUAUUUUUAAAAACAGUUUUUUGAAUAUAUGUUAAUAAACAAUCAUUCAUCAAACUAUCACCAAAUUUAUAUAUUAAAUUUAUUUUAAUAUAUAAAAUAUAAAAUAUAAAAUAUUUUAAUAUAUUAAAUAUUGAGAGUGGUAGAGGGAGUGGGGAAGAGAAUAUAUUAAAUAUUGUGAAAUUUUGUAUAUUAACCCUUGAAAAAUAUUAAUAUAUUGUGAAAAUUGCAUUUAACUCCUUAUAAAAAAAUUAUUACAUACAGGUCCUUAUUUUUUCCCCCAAAAUUCAAAGGGGGUAAUUAUCCUCUCUUGCAGCCCCUAGCUACGCCACUGCGCACCGACAGUGGAUCUGAAAAUUAUCGUAUUUUUUUAUACCAUUUCCUUAAUAUCAUUUGUUUUAACCUAGUCACCCAAUCCAUUGAUCCAAUUUGAGUACCUUCUAGCUAUAUAAGCCUGUAAAUUUUUUAAAAUUUAAUAUCUGAUAUUUAUGAAAUUACAGAAAAAUAAUGAAAAAUUUAAUAAUUAAAACAUAAAUUAUCCUAAAAUAUAAAUGAAGGAUAACCUAAAUCUAUUGAUCUUGAAAGCUCAAUAUAUUAUUCUUAUUCGAUUCAUCUUACAUAUAUAUAUAUUCAUUAAUUACUUUCCCGGUGAUGGUGGUUGUGGUGGUUUCAUUGUCGGUAAUGUAUCAGAAUAGAGAUAAUUUUGAUAUAUCGCCCUACUGAUAUCACCUCCCAUACCUUCAUUUUUAUUUGCUUCAUCUAUCUUACUAGAGAACAUCGCCAUUAAAUCACCUGCUUCUUCAGUCCUGCUAUCACAUCUUUCCUGCAUUGUUGGAAACCUCUCGCUACCAUUCUUCAAACUUCCGAACUCAUUAUUGCUACGGUAAAUGCUCGGGUCAAGGCCAGCGUAAAGGAACGAUUCAGACAUGCCAUAAUUACCUCCACCUAGGUUGGAAAUUGAAUAGCUAGUUUCUCCAACCGUAGGAUAAAUGUAAUGGCCAGUUGGAUCCAUCAUACCAGUGUAAUCAUUUCCAUAACCAUUACAGUUUCUUCCAAUCGGUAUAGUAUAUCUAUCGUUGUCUAUUCCGAGACCAGUACCACUAGAACUAGCACAAUUGAUAUCCAUACACAUCCGUUUAAUUGGUGGUUGUUGCGUAAGUGGGGGUUGUCUUUGUUGUUGUGGUUGAUGUGCCUGUUGCAAUUGUUGCGUCUGCUGUGAUGGGGAGUUAUUUGAUCUCUCUCCUUCUGACUCUCGAUACUUCUCCAAUUAAAUCUAAUGGAACAAAAUACAUUCGAAAAGAGAUUUAAUUAAGAUAAUGUCUGAUAGUUUGUGAAAUAUUUUGUUAAUUGUGAUCAAACGAGAUAAACCUUUAGAGGAAUAGUAUAUGGAUCAAAGUCGAGACGGUUCAUGGACCAAAGAAGGUCAUCGCCGUUAAUAGUUUUACGUUUCUCACUGUGACACUUUUCAGACGCUUCACCGGUGAUAAAACUAACAAACUCCGAGACACAUUCUUGAAUCGUUUCUUUGGCUUCUUUCGAGAUCUUGGCAUUUAUCGGUAGAGCUCUCUUCAUGAUCCGGCUCACAUUUGCUAUUGGAAGAAAUCGAUCAUUUGAGGCUGCAUCCCUUUUGGAAUUACUAUUAGAUGAACUUCCGACCAUUGGGUUAUUGGUUGCAAGCCCCAUCAAUUCCGUUGUUCACGCCUUCAGAUGUUUCUCUAACCAUAUUUGUGAAAAGGAUUUAUAAGAAUGUUUAAACGUAUGCCCAAAAUUCUUGUCCAAUCAUAAAAUAGAAAUUUCAAUGUCCUCCCGGCCACCAAUAGAUUUUUUUAGCUAUCAAUAGUUUUCUUUAACUAUCAACCACCUAAUUUUGAUGCAACAUGGGAUAUUAUUGACUACAAAUACGUACAAAUUACGUACUUGGUUGGUGUCAAACGAGCCGAACUGAGCUUUGGCUUAUUGAGCCGUGUUCGGGCUCGACUCGUUAAGAAGUUAUCCAGGUUCAGGCUCAAACUUGUCGAGCUUGAUUUGAUCGAGCCCGAGCCCAUCGAGCCGAGGUUUAUUUGACACCCUAGUCGACACAAAUCAUUUUGUCCAAUGUUUAUUAUGAAAUUCGGUCAUAUUUUCCGAGGCGGGUAUUCGUUGUACACAUAUUAGUUAAUGUCUUGUGUAGUAAAUUAUUAUAGUUGUUGGAUUAAAAAUUAAAAGACAUGAUACUUUUGACGUAUUUUGGCGCACCAACGUACGGCGCACCUGAAAAUUAUCGUAUUUUUUUAAACCCUUUCCUUGAUAUCAUUUCUUUUAACCCUAGUCACCCAAUCCAUUGACCCAAUUUGAGUACCUUCUAGCAACCCAAAUUCUAUGUCAAUUGUAAAUAGAUAAUUAGGGUUUUAAAUAACGCAAUACUUAAAAAUUAGUUUAUAGAAAAGGGAAAUAACACAAACAUCAAGAGGUGAUAUAUUAAAUGAUCCUGACAUAUCACCCAGAGAUAAAGAUUUUAACAUCAUUAUAAAAAAAAAUUAACAUACCAAUAUUUGAAUUUUAUUAAAAAAAAAUCAAAAUUCGUCGUAGAUCAUCGACCAUUAUUGGAACAUCUUUUCUUGAAACCUCAAAAAAUUAUUCUUAUUCAAUUCUUCUUACUUAUAUGUUCAUUACUUUCCCGGUGAUGGUGGUUCUAUUUUCGGUGAUGUAUCAGGGUCGUAGAGAUAAUUUUCGAUAUCAUCAUUUUCGAUAUCAUCAUUUUCGGUACCAUCAUUUUCAUUUUCUUCACCAAUCUUAAUAGAGAACUUCGCCAUUAAAUCACCUUCAUCGGUCAUUGUAUCAAUUCCUUCCUGCAUUAUUGAAAACAUAUCUCCUUCAUUGUUCAAAUUUCCGACCUCAUUAUUACUACGGCAAAUGCUCGGGUCAAGGCCACCGUAAAGAGACGAUUCAGACAGGUCGUAAUUACCUCCAACUACGUUGGAAAUUGAAUAGCCAAUUUCUCCGAUCGUAGGAUAAGCGUAAUGGGCAUUCGGAUCCAUCAUACCAGUGCAAUCAUUUCCAUAAUCAUUAUUACAGUUGUCUAUUUCGAGACCAGUACCACUAGAACUAGCACCAUAGGUAUCCAUACUCAUCCGAUUGGUUUGUGAUUGAUGCGCAAGUGGGGAUUGUCUCUGUUGUUGUUGCAGUUGUUGUUGUUGCGAAUCUAGCGUCUGAUAUGAUGAGAAGGUAUUUGAUUUCACUCCUUCUGACUCUCGAUAUUUCUCCAAAUAAAUCUAAUGAAAUAAAAUACAUUCAAAAAGAGAUUUAAUUAAAAUAAUGUUUGAUAGUUUGUAAAAUAUUUUGUAAAAUAUUUUGUUAAUUAUGAUCGAACGAGAUGAACCUUUAGAGGAACGGUAUAUGGCGAAAAAUCGAGACGAUUCAUGGACCAAAGAAGGUCAUCGCCGUUGACUGUUUUACGUUUCUCACUUCGACACUUUUCAGCGGCUUCGCCAGUGAUGAAACUAAUGAACUCCGACACACAUUCCUGAACCGUUUCUUUGGCUUCUUUCGAGAUCUUGGCAUGUGUCGGUAGAGCUCUCUUCAUGAUCCGACUCACAUUUGCAAUUGGAAGAAAUCGAUCAAUUGAAGGUACAUCAUUUCCUGGAUUAAUGUUAGAAGCACUUCUAGUCAGGAUCAUUGGUCUAUUGGUCGCAGAAUCUCCUUCAAUUCGGUUGAAAUCAUCUUUAUAAGUUUCAUCGGGCAUAUUUUAAGAUCGGUAUCUAAAUAAAUUUCUAUUUUUGUGGAAGAAAUUUCUAUCUUUGUCAAUUGACCUAUCUUUAGCCAUCAAUCCUAAUUAUUUAUAUCGAAGGAAUGAAUGAAUAUUACAAAUUAAAUUAACAAUAACAAUAAAAAAACUAUAUUAGUACCAACCAACUAACUAACUGUAUUUUUAACCGACAAAAUUAGUUUCUUUAUUAACUCCCUCUAAUAAAUGAUUAGUUUGGAUAAUUAAGUUACGAUUAGUUUUUUUAAUUAUCAUUAAAGAUGCAAAAUGUUAUAAUUUAUAAAUUUAUAUAUAACUUCUUAAUAUUAUUUACUAUUGACGGUCUAUUUAUAAAAUUUUAAAAAUAUUUGUUAAGUUUUAAAGAAUAAACAAAACUACAAACUAACAAAAGUUAGAAACCAAAAACUAUCGUCGUUAACUCGUUAUUCCCAUUCCCCGCUAUUUCGGUUAGGUUUUAUCUCUUUUUUUUAGGGUUUUCACCCCUCACCCUCACAACGCUCACAGGAAGUCAUGAAUCACAACCUCACAGCGUUCACACUUCACAGCCACAGGUAUUUCUUAUCUUCUUAUUAAUUUCGAUCUCUUCUUUUCUCUUUCUUAAUUUCUUCAUUAGAUCUCUCUAAAUUUUUUGUGGAUCUUUCCAUGUCUAAUGUCUUUUUUUGAACAGAUUAUCUUCCUGACUUCCUUGAUCUGAUCUGUAGAUUAGUUAUAAUAAUAAUGAUUUGUAGACUGGUUAUAUUUUUUUUAACCAUCAAAAUCCGAGUCGUCUAGUAAAGGACGUAAUGUCAUAAGAACACCGAUGAAAAUAAAAAAACGUGCUAAAGAUAAUAUGAGAAAUUAAAAUUUCAAAAUAAAAUAAAUAAAAUAUAUACCUAAACACCUGUAUUUGAAAUCUUUGUAUGACACACCAACCAAAUAUUUUUACUAUUGUAAUUUACAUAUUUUAUUAUCAUAUCUUCGAAGUCGUUGUCAACUGUGUUGUAUUUGAUUUUGAAUGAAUGCGUGCCUCCAGAAUCUUCAACAUCCUGUUACAGCGCCGGUGAACUCAAAGGAGGCGGUCAGAGACCUAGCGGAGACCUUGGACUUGAACGACGAAGUAACCAAAGAAGAAACGGUUGAAGAAGCAGCGACGAUGGAGCCAGGAGUCGCCGAGGAGCAAAAGAGGGAAUUAGGUCACGGACGGCUCUGGGAGAAGCGAGCCACGCGGGCGCCAGCGUGGACUGCCAGCUUUGAUUUGAGUAGGUAAGUUAGUUAAGGGUGAUUUUGCAGGAAGGACCUUAUUUUUAGUUUAAUUCCGUUAGUUUUGAAACUUGUUUUUAAUUUGGAUUAUUUUCAUUCAGCACCCUAUGUAAUUCCCCUAUAAAAGGGCACCAUAUGUAUUUUUACUUUUAUCGAAUAAAAUACUAAAAAUUUCCCUUAAAUCGUUCCACUUCAUUUCCGUAAUCGCCGCAUCGCCGAUCGCUCCGGUCAUCGUCGAAUCCCUCCGCAUCCGACUCAACUCUUACAAUCCAGUCGCUCCGCACCUUCGUCGCAACAUCUCCGCUCCGGACUUCAUCUCUGCUGCUCAGAGAAUCCAAUCGAGAGGAAAUACGAUCUUUUGAUCACACUUCGUCUCUUUUCUAGAUCAGCUUCCCGAUCUUUGAAUCGGGGACUGUGGUUGAUCGCCCAGGUCAAAUCCUUCUCGAGCAGAGCCCCCUUCCGAUUCCUUGAUACCGGCUUGAUACUGUAUCAACUGGUGCUUUCAACAUUUUGUUUACUCAUUUUUCAGGAAAAUGACAACCGCUCCACAAGGCUUGCCGGAAGGCAUGGAAGCGACUGUCAAGAGACUUCAGACGUUUCAGAUGUCCCAGACCAAUGAACUGUCCGAGCUGAGGAAGUCAUUGAACCACAAUGUGCUGGAACUAGGGAAGCAAAUCUCUGAUUUAGCCUCUAUUAUCACCAACAAGAAAUCAGAUCUGCAAAAUAAUCAGACAGGGGAGACAUCAUAUGAACAAAUAAACAUCAACAGUUACCAAGAGGAAGUUAUUGCUCCUGUUGAUCCAGAGCGUCCUGCAUAUGCUGUGAGUAUGUAUGGUAAUGCAGACUAUACCCCAGCUAAACACAUUAAGUUUGAUAUGCCUAAAUUUAAUGGGAAAGACCCUGAGGCCUGGAUCUUCAUGGCUCGGAGGUUUUUCAUUUUUCAUAACACCCCGGAGGACCAGAAGUUGAUUAUUUCAUCAUUCAACAUGGUUGAUGUGGCUCUGAAGUGGUUUCUGUGGAUGGAAUCCAGCAAUUACUUAACCACUUGGCCUGCUUUUGUCAAGUCACUACUAAAAAAAUUCAAUCCUAGCACUUACACAAUCCCUGGAGGCAGAUUAAGUAAGAUAUCGCAGAUCACUACAGUGGCUGAAUUCGUGACAAGGUUUGAAGACUAUUCUUCAAAAGUGUUUGGGGUACCUGAUUGGCUCCUGUUGGAAAUGUUUAUCUCGGGUUUGAAGGAUGAGUAUCUAUCAGAGGUAGUUAAAGCUAAGCUUACCGAUAUUCAAGAGGCUAUGGAAUUGACGGUGCACCUAGAAAACCAAGGUUCAUCUACUGUUAGCUACAAGUCUGGUGGGUAUAGACCAAGUCCAGGAAGAUCCUUCAUUGGAAAAACUUCUGGAAAUAACAAUUUUGGCAGCAAUUUUGCAAUGAAUAAUCAGCCUGCUGCAAUGAAUAAAACCACCAAUGCUCCUAUUUUUAAGAGACUAUCUCCUGCUGAGAGAAGGGAGAGAACUAUCAAGGGUCUCUGUUUCAAUUGUGAUGAGAGGUUUGCACCAGGCCACAAGUGUAAGGGAAGAUUGUUCAGAUUAUCAGCAGAUGACAACACUCUAUGGGAGUUGGAAGGAGAUGAUACUGAGAUAGAAGGCAUAAAGGAAGAGGAACACAGUAUAAUAGAAGGAGUGGUAGAUACUGAAAUCAGCUUACAAGCAUACCAAGGCAAACUGGGGGUCAGAACCAUCAGGCUGGAUGGAUUCAUAAAAAACCAAGCUGUAAGUGUGUUGGUGGAUCCAGGGUCAACUCACAACUUCAUGCAAGUUGAUUUAGCUACAAGACUGCAGAUGAUAGUACAUGCAAUCAACCCAUUCAGAGUUUCUACUGGCAGUGGAGAGAAACUAUUGUGUGACAAAGUGUGUAAGCAGGUUCAGAUCAAGAUUCAAGGGGUAAUAAUUACUAUUGAUUUAUUCUUAUUACCUAUGGCAGGGUCCAAUAUAGUCAUCGGUACCCAAUGGCUCAAGGAAUUGGGUGACGUAGUUUCCAAUUACAAGGAGUUAUGUAUGAAGUUUGAAUGGGAAGGAAAAAGGGUAAUUUGGAAAGGUAUAUCUUGGCUGAAUAGUGACCCACUAACAAAUGGGCAGAUGAAAUCCUUGCAGGCAUCUACUUCUGAAGCAUACCUAUGCUACUUUGAAUAUGUAGAAGAACAACCAAACCUGAAUAAUCUAUCAUUAUCUGAGUCAGCAGUAGUAAAUCAGGUGGUGGAAGUUUUUCCUGAAAUAUUUGAAGAACCUAAGGGAUUGCCACCCCAAAGGGAAGUUGAUCAUUUUAUACAUUUAUAUCCCAAUUCAAGCCCCGUAAAUGUAAGGCCAUACAGAUUUCCCCAAUUUCAGAAAGGGGAAAUUGAGAGGUUAGUGAGAGAAUUACUGAAUCAGGGCACUGUUAGGCCAAGCACCAGCCCCUACUCAUCUCCAGUAUUGCUAGUCAAGAAGAAGGAUGGAGGUUACAGACUCUGUGUUGAUUACAGAGCCCUGAAUGCCAUCACUAUCAAGGAUAAGUUCCCAAUACCUACAGUUGAUGAACUAUUGGGUGAGUUGAAAGGAGCUGUAAUUUUCUCAAAGCUAGAUUUGAGAUCGGGAUUCCACCAAAUAAGGAUAAACCCCAAAGAUACUGAGAAAACAGCUUUCAGAACACACCAGGGUCACUAAGAAUUCUUGGUGAUGCCUUUUGGGCUGACCAAUGCCCCAGCUACAUUUCAGGCAGCCAUGAACAGGGUUUUUCAGAAAUAUCUGAGGAAGUUCAUCAUUAUUUUUUUGACGAUAUUCUAAUCUAUAGCACCUCAGUUGCUGAUCAUGUUAAGCAUCUGGAGCUCAUUUUCGAGUUGAUGAAAGAAAAUCAGUUGCUUGCAAAAAAAUCUAAAUGUUGCUUUGGCCAAGAAACCAUGGGAUUUUUGGGUCAUAUUAUUAGUAAAGAAGGUGUAAAUCCUGACCCCACAAAGAUUUCAGCCAUGUUGGAAUGGCCUACUCCAAAAAAUCUGAAACAGCUAAGAGGGUUUUUGGGCCUUACAGGUUAUUACAGGAAAUUUAUCAAGGGAUAUGCUCAAAUAGCUUCUGCCAUGACCGAUCUAUUAAAGAAGGAUUCCUUCUCCUGGUCUGAAUUGGCUACUCUAAGUUUUAACAGAUUAAAAGAAGCCAUGACUAAGGCUCCAGUGCUCAAAUUUCCUGAUUUUGAUAAAUUGUUUGUUGUAGAAAUUGAUGCAUGCAACACAGGUAUUGGAGCUGUUCUGCAACAGGAAGAGCAUCCUAUAGCUUUCUACAGUAAAAAGAUAGGAGGAAGGUUGGCUUCAGCUUCUAUAUACAUCAAGGAGAUGUUUGCAAUUACCCAAGCAGUGGGUAAGUGGAGGCAUUACUUACUUGGGAGCCAUUUUGUGAUCAAAACUGAUCACAGAAGUUUGAAAAACUUGCUAACACAGGUAAUUCAAACUCCAGAGCAACAAGUUUUUCUGUGUAAAUUGCUGGGUUAUGACUUCACUAUUCUCUAUAAACCCGGGAAGGAUAACAAGGUGGCAGAUGCCCUAUCUAGGUGCCAUGAAGAAGUGGAGAUUAUAUUCAGUAAUAAAGCUGAUAAUCAGAAGGGAUCCUUAUUAGCCCUAUCAGCUUCUAUGUGCUCAUUAGUAGAUGAGAUGAAGAGGGAGAAUGAACAGUCCCCGGAGACACAAAAUCUGAUUCAUAACAUCAACUCAAAUUCCAGAAAAAACUCAUAAUUUUACUGUGGGACAGGGGCUGGUAUUUUACAAGGGGAAGUAUUAUCUAAAGAAAAACUCCGAGAUAAUUCAAAAGCUCUUAAAGGAAUUCCAUGAUUCACCUUUGGGAGGACACUCAGGAAUAGAAAGAACCAUCAGAAGGAUCUCAAUUCAGUUUUGGUGGCAGGGCAUGUCUAAUGACAUCAGAAAUUAUGUUAAAAAAUGUUUGGUUUGCCAACAAAUGAAACCCCUUAAUCAAAAGGCAUAUGGGCUGUUAAUGCCACUUCCCAUUCCCCCUUCAGUGUGGCAUGACUUAUCUGUGGAUUUUAUCACUAAUCUUCCCAAAGUUCAAGGUAAAACAGUCAUAGUUGUGGUAGUGGACAGACUGUCAAAAUCAUGCCAUUUGGGAGCACUUCCAACAAGUUACACAGCCUCUAUGGUGGCAGAGUUCUUUGUAAAAGAAGUAGUUAGACUGCACGGCUACCCUAAUUCCAUAGUUUCUGAUCGAGACAGAGUAUUUCUCUCCAAAUUUUGGAAAGAGUUGAAUAAACUCAGUGGGACAACUCUAAACUUCUCUACUGCCUACCACCCUCAGAGUGACGGCCAAACCGAGGUGGUCAACAGAAGCAUCGAGAUGUAUCUGAGAUCACUAGCACAUGAAGAUCCCAAGAAAUGGCUAUCCCUACUCCCUUGGGCAGAGUUCUGGUUUAAUACUAACUAUAAUGUUUCUGUGGGACAAACACCAUUCCAAAUACUAUAUGGGAAGGAGGCCCCUAUAUUACCCGGUUAUGUUGAAGGAAAUUCGGCCAUAGAUGCAGUGGAUAGAGAACUGAAUGAUAGAGAAUUGGCCUUGGAAAUGGCGAAAAAUAACUUGAUCAAGGCACAAAAAAGAAUGAAAUCAAAUGCUGAUAAAAACAGGAAAGAAAUACAAUUCAAUGUGGGUGAUUGGGUUUUGGUUAAACUCAAAAGAUACAGGCAAAAUUCAGUAGCAAUACGACUCCAUAACAAGCUAAACAAGCGAUACUUUGGCCCAUACAAAAUUAAGGAAAAGAUUAGCAGGGUCGCUUACAGAGUAUCUCUGCCUAUAGGAAGCAGGAUCCAUGACUCGUUCCACAUCUCCCUGUUGAAGAAGUUUGUGGGUAGCCCACCUGAAGAGAAGGAGUUGACACCUAUAAUUGCAGUAAAGAGUGAGACAGUAUUAAUUCCAUUGGCCAUUGUUGAUUACAGGGUUAUUUACCGCAAGGAAAAUCAGGUUGCACAAGCACUGGUUCAGUGGUGCGGGGAACCGGUCGAGGAUUCAUCGUGGGAGGACGUCGAGGUGCUGCGCAAGCUCUUUCCAUCUAUACACCUUGAGGACAAGGUGGUUCUUCGAGAGGGGUAUCAUGUUACAGCGCCGGUGAACUCAAAGGAGGCGGUCAGAGACCUAGCGGAGACCUUGGACUUGAACGACGAAGUAACCGAAGAAGAAACGGUUGAAGAAGCAGCGACGAUGGAGCCAGGAGUCGCCGAGGAGCAAAAGAGGGAAUUAGGUCACGGACGGCUCCGGGAGAAGCGAGCCACGCGGGCGCCAGCGUGGACUGCCAGCUUUGAUUUGAGUAGGUAAGUUAGUUAAGGGUGAUUUUGCAGGAAGGACCUUAUUUUUAGUUUAAUUCCGUUAGUUUUGAAACUUGUUUUUUAUUUGGAUUAUUUUCAUUCAGCACCCUAUGUAAUUCCCCUAUAAAAGGGCACCAUAUGUAUUUUUACUUUUAUCGAAUAAAAUACUAAAAAUUUCCCUUAAAUCGUUCCACUUCAUUUCCGUAACCGCCGCAUCGCCGCAUCGCCGAUCGCCGAUCGCUCCGGUCAUCGUCGAAUCCCUCCGCAUCCGACUCAACUCUUACAAUCCAGUCGCUCUGCACCUUCGUCGCAACAUCUCCGCUCCGGACUUCAUCUCUGCUGCUCAGAGAAUCCAAUCGAGAGGAAAUACGAUCUUUUGAUCACGCUUCGUCUCUUUUCUAGAUCAGCUUCCCGAUCUUUGAAUCGAGGACUGUGGUUGAUCGCCCAGGUCAAAUCCUUCUCGAGCGGAGCCCCCUUCCGAUUCCUUGAUACCGGCUUGAUACUGUAUCACAUCCUUGUUUCGUAUCCUAAGACUAAAAUUUUACCAGUUUCUAUUUCUCUAGGAUUUUUCGUCCAUAUUUUAUAACAAUCGUUAAUAUAAUGAUUGUUGACUUCACAACGAAAAUAAGCAAAACCACGGCAAUAAUAAUCUAUAUUUUUUUGAAAACUAAAUUGAAUCCAGUUAAGUCGUUCGAGUCGUUAAUGUCAUUCGACAAUUAAAAGUAGUUGACUUAAUUUUUAUUGAAAAUGAAAAAAUAUUUACAAUCGUUAUAAUUAAAAUAUAAAUUUAUAAAAUUAAUCAAUUACAAUCAAUAUCGGAAAUAUCUCUAUUCGGUAUUUUAAGCACACUACUCUUCAGAUUAGACUUAUGGUCGGGCAUGGAUCCUCCGAAGCUUCUAUUUGCAGUCUCAGAUCUCUCCCAUCGCCUUUGAGACUGUUAAGAAAAAAAAUCACGAAGAGAAGCUAUUAAAUCUCCACAAUACUAAAAACAAACAUGCGCGGCCUAUCCCUGCACUUAUUGUCUCGAAGAACUGAACGUCGUGUCGUUGCCUCUGCUGUGAGAAGUAUGAGAAGAAAUCGGUGUUUAUGGCAUAUGUCAUCUACGACCUUUUGGAUAGCAAGCGUAUGAUUCUUAUUGUGUAUGUAAAUGGAUUUGCUCUUAUAUUGCCGCUAAGUUUCUACUUUUUCCAUGCAUUGUAAACAAUCGUGAUCACGCCAGCAGUUGAUAAUCAACACCGGGAAAAGGGGUUGCGGCAUGCAGGUAGAGGUAGGGUAUUAAAUAAAACCCGGCUCGGUGGGCUCGACUCGUUUAAACUCGGGCUCGCGAGCCCAACGAGCCGAGCCUGAAGCUCAAGCUCGUUAAGCUCGUUAAGCUCGGUAAGAAUAAGUAUAAAAAAGUGAAAAAAUAUUUUAUUUAAAGAUAAUGGAGGUGUAGCAUAGAUGGUAAAACGUUUGUUAAGCAUAUAUACAUGAGGUCAUGAGUUCGAUCUCCUAUAUCUUUAAAUUAAUAAUUAUUUUUUUUAAUUCGAGCGCCGGCUCGAGUCAGGAAAGUCUCUGACGAGCCAAGCUCGAGCCCAAAUGAUACCUUAACGAGCCAAGCCGAGCCCGAACCCGACUCUAUAAGCAAAAGUUCGGCUCGACUUAUUUGACACCCUAGGUAAAAGUGAUGUAUUUAUAUAAUAUCAGGGUUGUGGGGGGAUCUCUUUUUCCAUCCCCGUACCCAGCAUUUUUAUCAGGGCCGGAGGACUUGAUAAAAUGACCGACGGGACAGGUACCGGUACGGGGAUAGUGGAAUACCCGGUUAUAUUUAAAAAAAAUGAUUUCUGAUAUUUUUUUAAAUUUAAUAUCUGAUAUUUAUGAUAUUACAGAAAAAUGAAAAAUUUAAUAAUUAAAACAGAUCGUAAAUAUAAAUAAACAAUAACCUAAAUCUAAAUAUACAAAUUAUGACACCUCAAUAACACCUCAAAUUUUUUCGUAGAUCAUCAACCAUUAUUGGAACAUCUUUUUUUGAAAGCUCAAUAAAUUAUUCCUAUUCGAUUCAUCUUACUUAUAUGUUCAUUAUUACUUUUCCGGUGAUGGUGAUUUUGGUGGUUCCAUUGUCGGUAACGUAUGAGGGUAAAGAUAAUUUUGAUAUAUCGCGCUACGUACUGAUAUCAUCUAGGAUACCAUCAUUUUCAUUUGCUUCAUCUAUCUUACUAGAGAACAUCGCCAUUAAAUCUCCUGCUUCUUCAGUCCUGUUAUCAAAUCCUUCCCGUAUUGUUGGAAACCUCUCUUCACCAUUGUUUAAACUUCCGACCUCAUUAUUGCUACAGUAAAUGCUCGGGUCAAGGCUACCGUAAAGGGACGAUUCAGACAUGUUGUAAUUACCUCCAACUACGUUGGAAAUUGAAUAGUUAGUUCCUUCAACCGUAGGAUAAGUGUAAUGGGCAGUCGAAUCCAUUAUACCAGUGUAACCAUUUCCAUAAUCAUUACAGUUUCCUCCGAUCGGUAUAGCAUAUAUAUCGUUGUCUAUUUCUAGACCAGCACCAUUGGAACUAGCAUCAUUGAUAUCCAUACACAUCCGUUUAUUUUGCGGUUGUUACGCAAUGGGGGUUGUCGAUCUCUGUUGUUGCGUCUGAUUCUGAUGUGAUGGCGAAAUAUUUGAUCUCUCUCCUUCUGGCUCUCGAUACUUCUGCACCAACGUACGACGCAUCUAAAAAUUACCGUAUUUUUUUAUACCCUUUCCUUAAUAUCAUUUUUUUUAACCUUAGUCACCCAAUCCAUUGACCUAAUUUGAGUACCUUCUAGCUAAACCUUUAAAUGUUUUAAAAUUUAAUAUUUGAUAUUUAUGAUAUUACAGAAAAAUGAAAAAUUUAAUAAUUAAAACAUAAAUGAUCCUAAAUAUAAAUAAAGGAUAACCUAAAUCUAUUGAUCUUGAAAGCUCAAUAAAAUUAUUCCUAUUCGAUUCAUCUUACAUAUAUAUUCAUUAAUUACUUUCCCAGUGAUGGUUGUUGUGGUGGUCCCAUUAUCGGUAACGUAUUAGAGAUAAUUUUGAUAUAUCGCCCUACUGAUAUCACCUCCCAUACCUUCAUUUUUAUUUGCUUCAUCUAUCUUACUAGAGAACAUCGCCAUUAAAUCACCUGCUUCUUCAGUCCUGCUAUCACAUCUUUCCUGCAUUGUUGGAAACCUCUCGCCACCAUUCUUCAAACUUCCGAACUCAUUAUUGCUACGGUAAAUGCUCGGGUCAACGCCAGCGUAAAGGAACGAUUCAGACAUGCCAUAAUUACCUCCACCUAGGUUGGAAAUUGAAUAGCUAGUUUCUCCAACCGUAGGAUAAAUGUAAUGGGCAGUUGGAUCCAUCAUACCAGUGUAAUCAUUUCCAUAACCAUUACAGUUUCUUCCAAUCGGUAUAGUAUAUCUAUCGUUGUCUAUUCCGAGACCAGUACCACUAGAACUAGCACAAUUGAUAUCCAUACACAUCCGUUUAAUUGGUGGUUGUUGCGCAAGUGGGGGUUGUCUUUGUUGUUGUGGUUGAUGUGCCUGUUGCAGUUGUUGCGUCUGCUGUGAUGGGGAGUUAUUUGAUCUCUCUCCUUCUGACUCUCGAUACUUCUCCAAUUAAAUCUAAUGGAACAAAAUACAUUCGAAAAGAGAUUUAAUUAAGAUAAUGUCUGAUAGUUUGUGAAAUAUUUUGUUAAUUGUGAUCAAACGAGAUAAACCUUUAGAGGAAUAGUAUAUGGAUCAAAGUCGAGACGGUUCAUGGACCAAAGAAGGUCAUCGCCGUUAAUAGUUUUACGUUUCUCACUGUGACACUUUUCAGACGCUUCACCGGUGAUAAAACUAACAAACUCCGAGACACAUUCUUGAAUCGUUUCUUUGGCUUCUUUCGAGAUCUUGGCAUUUACCGGUAAAGCUCUCUUCAUGAUCCGGCUCACAUUUGCUAUUGGAAGAAAUUGAUCAUUUGAGGCUGCAUCCCUUUUGGAAUUACUAUUAGAUGAACUUCCGACCAUUGGGUUAUUGGUUGCAAGCCCCAUCAAUUCCGUUGUUCACGCCUUCAGAUGUUUCUCUAACCAUAUUUGUGAAAAGGAUUUAUAAAAAUGUUUAAACGUAUGCCCAAAAUUCUUGUCCAAUCAUAAAAUAGAAAUUUCAAUGUCCUCCCGGCCACCAAUAGAUUUUUUUAGCUAUCAAUAGUUUUCUUUAACUAUCAACCACCUAAUUUUGAUGCAACAUGGGAUAUUAUUGACUACAAAUACAAAUUACGUACUUGGUUGGUGUCAAACGAGCCGAACUGAGCUUUGGCUUAUUGAGCCGUGUUCGGGCUCGACUCGUUAAGAAGUUAUCCAGGCUCAGGCUCAAACUUGUCGAGCUUGAUUUGAUCGAGCCCGAGCCCAUCGAGCCGAGGUUUAUUUGACACUCUAGUCGACACAAAUCAUUUUGUCCAAUGUUUAUUAUGAAAUUCGGUCAUAUUUUCCGAGGCGGGUAUUCGUUGUACACAUAUUAGUUAAUGUCUUGUGUAGUAAAUUAUUGUAGUUGUUGGAUUAAAAAUUAAAAGACAUGAUACUUUUGACGUAUUUUGGCGCACCAACGUACGGCGCACCUGAAAAUUAUCGUAUUUUUUUAAACCCUUUCCUUGAUAUCAUUUCUUUUAACCCUAGUCACCCAAUCCAUUGACCCAAUUUGAGUACCUUCUAGCAACCCAAAUUCUAUGUCAAUUGUAAAUAGAUAAUUAGGGUUUUAAAUAACGCAAUACUUAAAAAUUAGCUUAUAAAAAAGGGAAAUAACACAAACAUCAAGAGGUGAUAUAUUGAAUGAUCCUGACAUAUCACCCAGAGAUAAAGAUUUUAACAUCAUUAUAAAAAAAAAUUAACAUACCAAUUUUUGACUUUUAUUAUAAAAAAAUCAAAAUUCGUCGUAGAUCAUCGACCAUUAUUGGAACAUCUUUUCUUGAAACCUCAAAAAAUUAUUCUUAUUCAAUUCUUCUUACUUAUAUGUUCAUUACUUUCCCGGUGAUGGUGGUUCUAUUUUCGGUGAUGUAUCAGGGUCGUAGAGAUAAUUUUUGAUAUCAUCAUUUUCGAUAUCAUCAUUUUCGGUACCAUCAUUUUCAUUUUCUUCACCAAUCUUAAUAGAGAACUUCGCCAUUAAAUCACCUUCAUCAGUCAUUGUAUCAAAUCCUCCCUGCAAUGUUGGAAACAUAUCUCCUUCAUUGUUCAAAUUUCCUACCUCAUUAUUGCUACGGCAAAUGCUCGGGUCAAGGCCACCGUAAAGAGACGAUUCAGACAGGUCGUAACCCCCAACUACGUUGGAAAUUGAAUAGCCAAUUUCUCCGAUCGUAGGAUAAGCGUAAUGGGCAUUCGGAUCCAUCAUACCAGUGCAAUCAUUUCCAUAAUCAUUAUUACAGUUGUCUAUUUCGAGACCAGUACCACUAGAACUAGCACCAUAGGUAUCCAUACUCAUCCGAUUGGUUUGCAAUUGAUGCGCAAGUGGGGAUUGUCUCUGUUGUUGUUGCAGUUGUUGUUGUUGCGAAUCUAGCGUCUGAUAUGAUGAGAAGGUAUUUGAUUUCACUCCUUCUGACUCUCGAUAUUUCUCCAAAUAAAUCUAAUGAAACAAAAUACAUUCGAAAAGAGAUUUAAUUAAAAUAAUGUUUGAUAGUUUGUAAAAUAUUUUGUUAAUUAUGAUCGAACGAGAUGAACCUUUAAAGGAACGGUAUAUGGCGAAAAAUCGAGACGAUUCAUGGCCCAAAGAAGGUCAUCGCCGUUGACUGUUUUACGUUUCUCACUUCGACACUUUUCAGCGGCUUCGCCAGUGAUGAAACUAAUGAACUCCGACACACAUUCUUGAACCGUUUCUUUGGCUUCUUUCGAGAUCUUGGCAUGUGUCGGUAGAGCUCUCUUCAUGAUCCGACUCACAUUUGCAAUUGGAAGAAAUCGAUCAAUUGAAGGUACAUCAUUUCCUGGAUUAAUGUUAGAAGCACUUCUAGUCAGGAUCAUUGGUCUAUUGGUCGCAGAAUCUCUUUCAAUUCGGUUGAAAUCAUCUUUAUAAGUUUUUUCGGGCAUAUUUUAAGAUCGGUAUCUAAAUAAAUUUCUAUUUUUGUGGAAGAAAUUUCUAUCUUUGUCAAUUGACCUAUCUUUAGCCAUCAAUCCUAAUUAUUUAUAUCGAAGGAAUGAAUGAAUAUUACAAAUUAAAUUAACAAUAACAAUAAAAAAACUAUAUUAGUACCAACCAACUAACUAACUGUAUUUUUAACCGACAAAAUUAGUUUCUUUAUUAACUCCCUCUAAUAAAUGAUUAGUUUGGAUAAUUAAGUUACGAUUAGUUUUUUUAAUUAUCAUUAAAGAUGCAAAAUGUUAUAAUUUAUAAAUUUAUAUAUAACUUCUUAAUAUUAUUUACUAUUGACGGUCUAUUUAUAAAAUUUUAAAAAUAUUUGUUAAGUUUUAAAGAAUAAACAAAACUAGAAAUUAAAAAAAGUUUAAAACCAAAAACUAUCGUCGUCGUUAACUUGUUAUUCCCAUUCCCCGCUAUUUCAGUUAGGGUUUAUCUUUUUUUUUAGGGUUUUCACCCCUCACCCUUACAACCCUCACAGGAAGUCAGGAAUCACAACCUCAUAACGUUCACACUUCAUUAAUUUUCUUUUCUUAUUAAUUUCGAUCUCUUCUUUUCUCUUUCUUAAUUUCUUCAUUAGAGAUCUCUCUAAAUUUUUUGUGGAUCUUUCCAUGUCUAAUGUCUUUUUUUGAACAGAUUAUCUUCCUGACUUCCUCGAUCUGAUCUGUAGAUUAGUUAUAAUGAAUAAUGAUUUGUAGACUGGUUAUAUUUUUUUUAACCAUCAAAAUCCGUGUCGUCUAGUAAAGGACGUAAUGUCAUAAGAACACCGAUGAAAAUAAAAAAAAAGUGCUAAAGAUAAUAUGAGAAAUUAAAAUUUCAAAAUAAAAUAAAUAAAAUAUAUACCUAAACACCUGUAUAUGAGAUCUUUGUAUGACACACCAACCAAAUAUUUUUACUAUUGUAAUUUACAUAUUUUAUUAUCAUAUCUUCGAAGUCGUUGUCAACUGUGUUGUAUUUGAUUUUGAAUGAAUGCGUGCCUCCAGAAUCUUCAACAUCCUUGUUUCGUAUCCUAAGACUAAAAUUUUACCAGUUUCUAUUUCUCUAGGAUUUCUCGUCCAUAUUUUAUAACAAUCGUUAAUAUAAUGAUUGUUGACUUCACAACGAAAAUAAGCAAAACCACGACAAUAAUAAUCUAUAUUUUUUUGAAAACUAAAUUGAAUCCAGUUAAGUCGUUCGAGUCGUUAAUGUCAUUCGACAAUUAAAAGUAGUUGACUUAAUUUUUAUUGAAAAUGAAAAAAUAUUUACAAUCUUAUAAUUAAAAUAUAAAUUUAUAAAAUUAAUCAAUUACAAUCAAUAUCGGAAAUAUCUCUAUUCGGUAUUUUAAGCACACUACUCCAUUCAGAUUAGACUUAUGGUCGGGCAUAGAUCCUCCGAAGCUUCUAUUUGCAGUCUCAGAUCUCUCCCAUCGCCUUUGAGACUGUUAAGAAAAAAAAUCACGAAGAGAAGCUAUUAAAUCUCCACAAUACUAAAAACAAACAUGCGCGGCCUAUCCCUGCACUUAUUGUCUCGAAGAACUGAACGUCGUGUCGUUGCCUCUGCUGUGAGAAGUAUGAGAAGAAAUCGGUGUUUAUGGCAUAUGUCAUCUACGACCUUUUGGAUAGCAAGCGUAUGAUUCUUAUUGUGUAUGUAAAUGGAUUUGCUCUUAUAUUGCCGCUAAGUUUCUAAUUUUUCCAUGCAUUGUAAACAAUCGUGAUCACGCCAGCAGUUGAUAAUCAACACCGGGAAAAGGGGUUGCGGCAUGCAGGUAGAGGUAGGGUGUCAAAUAAAACCCGGCUCGGUGGGCUCGACUCGUUUAAACUCGGGCUCGCGAGCCCAACGAGCCGAGCCUGAAGCUCAAGCUCGUUAAGCUCGGUAAGAAUAAGUAUAAAAAAGUGAAAAAAUAUUUUAUUUAGAGAUAAUGGUGGUGUAGCAUAGAUGGUAAAACGUUUGUUAAGCAUACGAGAGGUCAUGAGUUCAAUUUCCCAUAUCUUUAAAUAAUUAUUUUUUUUAAUUCGAGCGCGGGCUCGAGUCAGGAAAGUCUCUGACGAGCCAAGCUCGAGCCCAAAUGAUACCUUAACGAGCCGAGCCGAGCCCGAACCCGACUCUAUAAGCAAAAGUUCGGCUGACUUAUUUGACACCCUAGGUAAAAGUGAUGUAUUUAUAUAAUAUCAGGGUUGUGGGGGGAUCUCUUUUUCUAUCCCCGUACCCAGCAUUUUUAUCAGGGCCGGAGGACUUGAUAAAAUGACCGACGGGACAGGUACCGGUACGGGGAUAGUGGGAUACCCGGUUAUAUUUAAAAAAAAUGAUUUCUGAUAUUUUUUUAAAUUUAAUAUCUGAUAUUUAUGAUAUUACAGAAAAAUGAAAAAUUUAAUAAUUAAAACAGAACGUAAAUAUAAAUAAACAAUAACCUAAAUAUAAAUAUACAAAUUAUGACACCUCAAUAACACCUCAAAUUUUUUCGUAGAUCAUCAACCAUUAUUGGAACAUCUUUUUUUGAAAGCUCAAUAAAUUAUUCCUAUUCGAUUCAUCUUACUUAUAUGUUCAUUAUUACUUUCCCGGUGAUGGUGGUUUUGGUGGUUCCAUUGUCGGUAACGUAUGAGGGUAAAGAUAAUUUUGAUAUAUCGCGCUACUGAUAUCCUCCCAUACCAUCAUUUUCAUUUGCUUCAUCUAUAUUACUAGAGAACAUCGCCAUUAAAUCACCUGCUUCUUCAGUCCUGCUAUCAAAUCCUUCCCGUAUUGUUGGAAACCUCUCUUCACCAUUGUUUAAACUUCCGACCUCAUUAUUGCUACGGUAAAUGCUCGGGUCAAGGCUACCGUAAAGGGACGAUUCAGACAUGUUGUAAUUACCUCCAACUACGUUGGAAAUUGAAUAGUUAGUUCCUUCAACCGUAGGAUAAGUGUAAUUAUAAACUUCAGGUCGCGGAGGAGGCGUAGCCGACAAUGUAGUGCCUUCCUCAAGCCGGGGAUGGUCGAAGUGCUGCGGAGUUGCCAGAUUGCUGGCUAGGGUUCGUCGCCCACUGGAGAAGGGGCUUUUACCGGAAUAAACUGUCGUUAAGGAGAAGGAGAAGACAGUUUGAAGAGUUAUUUCUUUAAUCUGGUUUUACCAGUAUUAACUUUGUAUUGAAUUAAUAAAUUGUAUUGUAAUACAUUGAUAUUUAAUACAAAGAUUAAACUAAUCUCGUAACUAAUUAAGCUUAAUAAAAUCAGGCCGUUGUGAUUGGUCCAUUAACGGAUAUUUGAAAAUAUUUCACUUUGGCCCUUCUGCUUCUAUAAUUCUUUUGUCACGAGUCUUGGGUUAAUUACCUGCACAGUAAUACUUGAACUCAAGUUAGUUUUUAUUAUAAAAACUCUUGUUUAUUACACUUAGGUCCUGUCAACGUUUUUAUUGAAACUUUUAUAUAACAACCCCCUGUCGGUUGAUAGUUGACAGUUUAUAUAGUUAUGUCAUAACCUUUAUAAUUGUUUUAUUUCACUUAAGUCCUUGUUUUAUAUUCCUUGGUAAAAUUGCUGUUUUUACCCUGGAUUUUCAGUGUUUUCUUAUACUCCCCCCUCAAGCCUUGGAAUACAUGUUAUGAAUACCAAGCUUGACGGAGAAUGCUGAAAUUUCAUUUUCUCCUAGUGAUUUGGUGAAAAUAUCAGCAAGUUGGUACUUUGUACCUACUUGUUUUAGCAUAAUUAUCCCUUUAUCUAUCAUCUCCCUUAUAGAAUGACAUGAUAUUUCUAUAUGUUUACUCCUUUCAUGGAAUACUGGAUUAUUGGCCAGAUAAAUUGCAGACUUGUUGUCACAGUAUAAGGAUGUUGGUUUUUGUAUUUUGAUUUUAAGGUCUUUAAAAAGUUGAUGUAGCCAUAGUAUUUCACAUUGUGCUUUACUAAUGGCUCUAUACUCAGCUUCACAUGAGGAAAGUAAAACAGUGGCUUGUUUCUUGGAUUUCCAAGAAAUUAAGGAUGUUCCUAAGAACAUGCAGUAGCCUGAAAGUGAUUUCCUGCCGAUUGAGCAGGAACCCCAAUCUGAAUCACAAUAUCCAUGAAGAUUCAUUUGGUUUUGGUUUUUAUAUAAUAUACCCUGUCCAGGGGCAUUUUUAAGAUAUCUUAUGACUUAUAUCUUAUAUUUUAUAUAAUAUUUUCAGAAUUCUAAAUAUUCUCAGAAUGAUCUUUAUUCUGAAUAUUUUCAGAAAUACAAUUGUUUUGGAAAUUUCCAAAAUUAUUAAUAGAGCCUCUAUCUCUAUGACUAUGAUUUGAUUCAAUCUCAUAGUUUUUAUUUUCAGUUUUAUUUUCCAUUUGAUUUAUCAACUGGUUUUGUGAGUUAUUGCUUAUUUCAAUAUACUCUGGAUUUAUUUGGCCCUUUUGUUGACCUUGAAUGUGAAUUUUUUCCAGUUUUUGAUUUUCUGAUCUUGUUUUGUUGUUUAGAUCAGAUUUUUUUGUUUUGAUUCUUUGAUCAUAGUUUUUAUAGUCAUACCAUGCUUUAUUCGAAUCAUCAUGAUAUAAAAACAUAUUAUCAUAAAAAAUUUCAAAAUUUUUUAAUUUUUUUGUGUUUUCUGAAUUUACAUUAUCUUUGAACGGGAAUAUUGAUUCCCUAAAAGAUACAUCUCUAGAAAUGAUAAAUUUCUUGUCUGAAAGCCUUAAUAUGGAGUAUCUUUUAACCCCUUUUGGGUAGCCCAUAAAUACUCCUUGAAAAGUUUUAGGAGAAAAUUUGUUUUCUAUUUGAGUUGUUGAUGCAUAGCACAAACAACCAAAUGUUUUUAAACUUUCAAAAUUUGGUAUCUUUUUAUGAACUAUUUCAUAAGGUGUUUUGUUUCCUAUGACUUUGGAAGGAAUUCUAUUAAUUAGGUGGGCUGCAGUUAGGAUGCACUCCCCCCAAUAUUCUAAUGGAAUAUUUCCUUGUAGGUGUAAUGCUCUUGUUAUGUUCAAGAGGUGCCUAUGUUUUCUCUCUACCCUUGCAUUUUGUGCAGGGGUAUAAGGACAUGAGAAGUGUUGAACUAUCCCAUGUUUUUCAGUCAUCUUUUUAAAACUAUUAGAAGUGAACUCUCCUCCAUUGUCACUUCUAAUGGUUUUUAUUUUAGUUUGAAAUUGUGUUUUAACCAUCUUAUAAAAAUUAUUAAUACAUUCUAUUGCCAUUGAUUUGUUCUUGAUUAAGUAUAUCCAUGUACCUCUGCUUAGAUCUUCUACAAUGGUUAAAAAAUAAUUGAAACCAUCAUGGGUUAUAAUUGGAAAUUUUCCCCAUAUAUCUAUGUGAAUUAGAUCAAACAAUUUUUUAGAUUUGGAAGAACUAAUUGGGAAUUUUAAUUUAGUUUGUUUUGCUAAUGAACAUAUCAUGCAGUUGUAUUGAACAGAAUUGAUUUUAUUCAAAACAGAUUUUUUAUUGAAAAAUUCAUCAUUAUCACAAUCUAAAAUUUUUUUAUUACAAUCUGAACUUUUACAACUACUACUAGUGUUUUUACAUUUAAUGUUGUAAUUGGAGACUAAUGUCUUCAUUUUCUCUGAGGAGAUGUGUCCUAAUCUUUGAUACCAAGUUUUGAAAUCAAUGGCUAGGUUUGCUAGAAAGUAGUGGGGGGUGAAGAAAUAUAGUCCAUCAUGGGACUCACCCUUGCCAAUCACUUUCUCGGACUUGUUUUCCUGAAAUUGAAAACAAUGAUCAUUGAAUAUUAAUUUAAUGUCAUUGUCUAAAGUUAAUUUGCUAAUGGCUAUUAGAUUAACUUCAAAUUCAGGAAUAAACAAUACAUUUUUUAAAACUAGGUUUUCUGAAAUUUUUAUGCAACCUAUUCCUUUAACUACUAAUUUUUUUCCACUAGGUAUGGUUACAUAAUGAUUAUAUUCUUUUGCUGGUGGAUUCAUAAAUAGAUGUAGAUUACCAGUCAUGUGCUGAGAAGCACCAGUAUCUACUAUCCAUCUAUCAAUAUAAUCAUUUAUUUUUCCAGAAAUUUAUUUAUAUUAAAAGAAAAAUUAAAAAUCUUACCAGAGUUAGACUUGGUAGAUGAGAUAAGUUCCUUGAACAACUGAAUCUCUUCUUGGGUCAGUGCUAAUUGUGGUUGACUGUUGGAGGUGGUUGCUUGAUUUGCAGCCUCUGUGGUUGUUAUGUUGUUGACUUGAUUCUUUUUUCCUUGAAACCUCUUUUGAUUUUUGUCUUUAGGUUUUCCUACUAGGUGAUAACAUUUGUCUCUUGUAUGACCAUAGUAUUUACAGUUAUCACAAUAAUACCUAGUGUCAAGCUUCUUUCCAUUUUUAGAAAGCAUAAUUUUUGUAUUUUCUGUUGGGUUUUUCUCUUUUGCAUAGAAAACUGAUUCAUUUUUUUCAUUUGUGUUAUCCCUGAACUUAUACCUCUGCUUCUCUUCUUGCAGUACUAAUCCAAGCAAUUUAUUCAUGUUUGGUAGCUUGUCUAGUGAUAGUAUUUGAGUUCUAAGAUUGAAAAAAUUUUCAUUUAAUCCUAAGAGGAACUGAUGUAUCAUAUCAUUCUCCUCUUUUUGUUGGUAGAGUUUCUUACAUCCUAAGCAAAAUUUCUCUUUGAUCUCAUCUACUUGUACCAAUUGGUCCCAAAUAGACCUAAACUUGUCAUAAAAGUCAGAAGCAUUCAUAGAACCUUGCUGUAGACUGUUGGAUCGUGAUCCGAGGCUAUAGGGGGGGUGAUAGCCUCUUUUCGAUUUAUACAGGUUGAUAGCGGAAACUUGACUUGCAUUAUUUGAAUACAUAAUGGUUGAUUGUAUUUGUGGGGAUACUGAAUUUAAGAUCCAUGCCAAUACUAACCCAUUAACUAUUUUCCAUAUAUUGUAUUCUCUACUGUUGCAAUCAGAGNNNNNNNNNNNNNNNNNNNNNNNNNNNNNNNNNNNNNNNNNNNNNNNNNNNNNNNNNNNNNNNNNNNNNNNNNNNNNNNNNNNNNNNNNNNNNNNNNNNNAAGGCAUCUUUCCUUCUUGACACCAAUGAGACCUUCAUCCCAUUGGCCCAAGUAAUGUAGUUGGUCUCACCAACUAAUCUAUCAGGGACUAGAAUUGCCCCCGGAUGAUCACCGGAGGUCAAGAAAAAGGGAGACUCUGGAUCUUGAAGUGGAGAGAUAUACCUGUCGGAUCUUUAUUUCUUGAAAAAAGAUCCUUGAUAGAAGUCCUCCUCAUGAUCCUUUGCUCUUGAUUUUCCAGUAAACCCAAAUGAAGAAUUCCGUGAAUUUACUGGAGUCUGUAGUGGGUUGUUGAAUGCUAGUAGUGCCACAGACUCUUCUCUGAUAUUGGCCGGAGGUAUUGAUGCGGAAGCGGCCGGACGAUUGACCGGAGGUACGCCUGGAGCGUUAGCGGCAGAUACCAUAUAAACUUCAGGUCGCGGAGGAGGCGUAGCCGACAAUGUAGUGCCUUCUUCAAGCCGGGGAUGGUCGAAGUGCUGCGGAGUUGCCAGAUUGCUGGCUAGGGUUCGUCGCCCACUGGAGAAGGGGCUUUUACCGGAAUAAACUGUCGUUAAGGAGAAGGAGAAGACAGUUUGAAGAGUUAUUUCUUUAAUCUGGUUUUACCAGUAUUAACUUUGUAUUGAAUUAAUAAAUUGUAUUGUAAUACAUUGAUAUUUAAUACAAAGAUUAAACUAAUCUCGUAACUAAUUAAGCUUAAUAAAAUCCGGCCGUUGUGAUUGGUCCAUUAACGGAUAUUUGAAAAUAUUUCACUUUGGCCCUUCUGCUUCUAUAAUUCUUUUGUCACGAGUCUUGGGUUAAUUACCUGCACAGUAAUACUUGAACUCAAGUUAGUUUUUAUUAUAAAAACUCUUGUUUAUUACACUUAGGUCCUGUCAACGUUUUUAUUGAAACUUUUAUAUAACAACCCCCUGUCGGUUGAUAGUUGACAGUUUAUAUAGUUAUGUCAUAACCUUUAUAAUUGUUUUAUUUCACUUAAGUCCUUGUUUUAUAUUCCUUGGUAAAAUUGCUGUUUUUACCCUGGAUUUUCAGUGUUUUCUUAUAGUAAUGGGCAGUCGAAUCCAUUAUACCAGUGUAACCAUUUCCAUAAUCAUUACAGUUUCUUCCGAUCGGUAUAGCAUAUAUAUCGUUGUCUAUUUCUAGAUCAGCACCAUUGGAACUAGCAUCAUUGAUAUCCAUACACAUCCGUUUAUUUUGCGGUUGUUACGCAAUGGGGGUUGUCUCUGUUGUUGCGUCUGAUUCUGAUGUGAUGGCGAAAUAUUUGAUCUCUCUCCUUCUGGCUCUCGAUACUUCUGCACCAACGUACGACGCAUCUAAAAAUUACCGUAUUUUUUUAUACCCUUUUCUUAAUAUCAUUUUUUUUAACCUUAGUCACCCAAUCCAUUGACCUAAUUUGAGUACCUUCUAGCUAAACCUUUAAAUGUUUUAAAAUUUAAUAUUUGAUAUUUAUGAUAUUACAGAAAAAUGAAAAAUUUAAUAAUUAAAACAUAAAUUAUCCUAAAUAUAAAUAAAGGAUAACCUAAAUCUAUUGAUCUUGAAAGCUCAAUAAAUUAUUCCUAUUCAAUUGAUCUUACAUAUAUAUUCAUUACUUUCCCGGUGAUGGUGGCUGUGGUGGUUCCAUUGUCGGUAACGUAUCAGAAUAUAGAUAAUUUUGAUAUAUCGCCCUACUGAUAUCACCUCCCAUACCUUCAUUUUUAUUUGCUUCAUCUAUCUUACUAGAGAACUUCGCCAUUAAAUCACCUGCUUCUUCAGUCCGGAUAUCACAUCCUUCCCGCAUUGUUGGAAACCUCUCUCCACCAUUUUUCGAACUUCCGACCUCAUUAAUAUUGCUACGGUAUAUGCUCGGGUCAAGGCCACCGUAAAGGGACGAUUCAGACAUGCCGUAAUUACCUCCAACUACGUUGGAAAUUGAAUAAUUAGUUCCUCCAACCGUAGGAUAAGUGUAAUGGGCAGUCGGAUCCAUCAUACCAUUAGAUCGACUUUUAUCGUACAUGAGUUAGUGUUUUUUGUUGUACAUUUUUUUUCGUCGUACAUGUGUUAGUUAAUGUCUUGUGUAGUACAUUAUUGUGACUGUUUGAUUAAAAAUUAAAAGACAGAAUACGUAUGGUACAUUUUGGAACACCAACGUACGGCGCAUCUAAAAAUUAUCGUAUUUUUUAUACCCUUUCCUUGAUAUCAUUUCUUUAAACCUAGUCACCCAAUCCAUUGACCUGAGUACCUUCUAGCAACCCAAAUUCUAUGUCAUUUGCGAUUAGAUAGUUAGGAUUUUAAAUAACGCAAUACUUAAAAAUUAGUUUAUAAAAAAGGGAAAUAACGCAAACAUCAAUAGGUGAUAUAUUAUAUGAUUCUGACAUAUUACCCAGAGAUAAAGAUUAUAACAUCAUUAUAAAAAAAAUUGACAAACCAAUUUUUGACAUUUAUUAAAAAAUAAUCAAAAUUCGUCAUAGAUCAUCGACCAUUAUUGGAACAUCUUUUCUUGAAACCUCAAAAAAUUAUUCUUAUUCGAUUCAUCUUAAUUACUUAUAUAUUCAUUUCUUUCCCGAUGAUGGUGGUUCUAUUUUCGGUGAUGUAUCAGGGUCGUAGAGAUAAUUUUCGAUACCAUCAUUUUCGAUAUCAUCAUUUUUGGUAGCAUCAUUUUCGGUACCAUCAUUUUCAUUUUCUUCACCUAUCUUAAUAGAGAACUUCGCCAUUAAAUCACCUUCAUCAGUCAUUGUAUCAAAUCCUCCCUGCAAUGUUGGAAACAUAUCUCCUUCAUUGUUCAAAUUUCCGAUCUCAUUAUUGCUACGGCAAAUGCUCGGGUCAAGGCCACCGUAAAGGGACGAUUCAGACAGGUCGUAACCUCCAACUACAUUGGAAAUUGAAUAGCUAGUCCCUCCGACCGCAGGAUAAGCGUAAUGGGCAUUCGGAUCCAUCAUACCAGUGUAAUCAUUUCCAUAUUCAUUAUUACAGUUGUCUAUUUCGAGACCAGUACCACUAGAACUAGCACCAUAGGUAUCCAUACUCAUCAAAUUGGUUUGUGAUUCAUGCGCAAGUGGAGAUUGUUUCUGUUGUUGUUGUUGCGAAUCUAGCGUCUGAUAUGAUGGGAAGGUAUUUGAUUUCACUCCCUCUGACUCUCGAUAUUUCUCCAAAUAAAUCUAAUGGAACAAAAUACAUUCGAAAAGAGAAUUAAUUAAGAUAAUGUCUGAUAGUUUGUGAAAUAUUUUGUAAAAUAUUUUGUUAAUUAUGAUCGAACGAGAUGAACCUUUAGAGGAACGGUAUAUAGCGAAAAAUCGAGACGAUUCAUGGACCAAAGAAGGUCAUCGCCGUUGACUGUUUUACGUUUCUCACUUCGACACUUUUCAGCGGCUUCGCCAGUGAUGAAACUAAUGAACUCCGACACACAUUCCUGAACCGUUUCUUUGGCUUCUUUCGAGAUCUUGGCAUGUGUCGGUAGAGCUCUCUUCAUGAUCCGACUCACAUUUGCAAUUGGAAGAAAUCGAUCAAUUGAAGGUACAUCAUUUCCUGGAUUAAUGUUAGAAGCACUUCUAGUCUGGAUCAUUGGUUUAUUGGUCGCAGAAUCUCCUUCAAUUCCGUUGAAAUCAUCUUUAUAAGUUUCUUCGGGCAUAUUUUAUGAUCGGUAUCUAAAUAAAUUUCUAUUUUUGUGGAAGAAAUUUCUAUCUUUGUCAAUUGACCUAUCUUUAGCCAUCAAUCUUAAUUAUUUAUAUCGAAGGAAUGAAUGAAUAUUACAAAUUAAAUUAACAAUAACAAUAAAAAAACUAUAUUAGUACCAACCAACUAACUAACUGUAUUUUUAACCGACAAAAUUAGUUUCUUUAUUAACUCCCUCUAAUAAAUGAUUAGUUUGGAUAAUUAAGUUACGAUUAGUUUUUUUAAUUAUCAUUAAAGAUGCAAAAUGUUAUAAUUUAUAAAUUUAUAUAUAACUUCUUAAUAUUAUUUACUAUUGACGGUCUAUUUAUAAAAUUUUAAAAAUAUUUGUUAAGUUUUAAAGAAUAAACAAAACUAGAAAUUAAAAAAAGUUUAAAACCAAAAACUAUCGUCGUUAACUCGUUAUUCCCAUUCCCCGCUAUUUCGGUUAGGUUUUAUCUCUUUUUUUUAGGGUUUUCACCCCUCACCCUCACAACGCUCACAGGAAGUCAUGAAUCACAACCUCACAGCGUUCACACUUCACAGCCACAGGUAUUUCUUAUCUUCUUAUUAAUUUCGAUCUCUUCUUUUCUCUUUCUUAAUUUCUUCAUUAGAUCUCUCUAAAUUUUUUGUGGAUCUUUCCAUGUCUAAUGUCUUUUUUUGAACAGAUUAUCUUCCUGACUUCCUCGAUCUGAUCUGUAGAUUAGUUAUAAUGAAUAAUGAUUUGUAGACUGGUUAUAUUUUUUUUAACCAUCAAAAUCCGUGUCGUCUAGUAAAGGACGUAAUGUCAUCAGAACACCGAUGAAAAUAAAAAAAACGUGCUAAAGAUAAUAUGAGAAAUUAAAAUUUCAAAAUAAAAUAAAUAAAAUAUAUACCUAAACACCUGUAUAUGAGAUCUUUGUAUGACACACCAACCAAAUAUUUUUACUAUUGUAAUUUACAUAUUUUAUUAUCAUAUCUUCGAAGUCGUUGUCAACUGUGUUGUAUUUGAUUUUGAAUGAAUGCGUGCCUCCAGAAUCUUCAACAUCCUUGUUUCGUAUCCUAAGACUAAAAUUUUACCAGUUUCUAUUUCUCUAGGAUUUCUCGUCCAUAUUUUAUAACAAUCGUUAAUAUAAUGAUUGUUGACUUCACAACGAAAAUAAGCAAAACCACGACAAUAAUAAUCUAUAUUUUUUUGAAAACUAAAUUGAAUCCAGUUAAGUCGUUCGAGUCGUUAAUGUCAUUCGACAAUUAAAAGUAGUUGACUUAAUUUUUAUUGAAAAUAAAAAAAUAUUUACAAUCUUAUAAUUAAAAUAUAAAUUUAUAAAAUUAAUCAAUUACAAUCAAUAUCGGAAAUAUCUCUAUUCGGUAUUUUAAGCACACUACUNNNNNNNNNNNNNNNNNNNNNNNNNNNNNNNNNNNNNNNNNNNNNNNNNNNNNNNNNNNNNNNNNNNNNNNNNNNNNNNNNNNNNNNNNNNNNNNNNNNNNNNNNNNNNNNNNNNNNNNNNNNNNNNNNNNNNNNNNNNNNNNNNNNNNNNNNNNNNNNNNNNNNNNNNNNNNNNNNNNNNNNNNNNNNNNNNNNNNNNNNNNNNNNNNNNNNNNNNNNNNNNNNNNNNNNNNNNNNNNNNNNNNNNNNNNNUCCCGACCAUUGGAUUAUUGGUUGCAAGCUUCCUUCAAUUCAGUUGUUCACGCCUUCAGAUGUUCCUCUGACAUGGUUUGUGAAAAGAAUUUAUAAGAAUGUUUAAACCUAUUCCCAAAAUUCUUGUCCACCCAUAAAAUAGAAAUUUCAAUGUCCUGUCCACCAAUAGAUUUUUUUUUAGCUAUCAAUAGUUUUCUUUAACUAUCAACCACCUAAUUUUGAUGCAAUAUAGAUAUUAUUGACUAAUAAUCCAAAUUAUGUACUUUGUCGACACUAAGGUGUCAAACGAGCUGAGCUUUGGCUUAUUGAGCUAGGCUCGGGCUCAGCUCGUUAAGGAGUAAUCCAGGCUCGAGCUCGGGCUCAGCUCGUUAAUGAUUUGCCGAUACCGAGCCCUUGCCGAAGUCAUCGAGUCAAGAUUUAUUUGACACCCUAGUCGACGCUAAUCGUUUUGUCCAAUGUCUAUUAUGAAAUUCGGUCAUAUUUUCCGAGGCGGGUAUCGUGGCAAGACAUUCUCGAGUUUGGCCCAGUCUUCAUAGACCGAGACUCACUCGAAACUCGAAAUUUUCUAUGAAAAAUCCGUCUUAAAAUAUAAAUGAAAUUAAUUUAACCAAUUACUCUCUAAUUAAUUUAAAUUCAUCAAUUAACCCAUUUUUAAUUUAUCUAAUUUACCUCUGUUUAUUUUUUAGGGCAGGUUUCCUAUACUGAUUAAAAAAUAAAAUUUUGGAUGACCAAUUCAUAUUGAUUAUAAAAACUAGCUUAUAAAAAUUCAAUACAUUCACUCCAUACAAUAAUUAAUAUUCAAUACAUUAAUUAAUAUUCAAAUUAAAAAUAAACACAUUUAUUUAAUUAACAAUAAAAAUUUCAAGAAAAUUAAUGAUUAUUUCAAUAUCCUACGACGAGGACACAUAUCAUUAAAUAUUUUUAAAAUGACUUCAUUGUCUAUAUUUUUAAAAACAGUUUUUUGAAUAUAUGUUAAUAAACAAUCAUUCAUCAAACUAUCACCAAAUUUAUAUAUUAAAUUUAUUUUAAUAUAUAAAAUAUAAAAUAUAAAAUAUUUUAAUAUAUUAAAUAUUGAGAGUGGUAGAGGGAGUGGGGAAGAGAAUAUAUUAAAUAUUGUGAAAUUUUGUAUAUUAACCCUUGAAAAAUAUUAAUAUAUUGUGAAAAUUGCAUUUAACUCCUUAUAAAAAAAUUAUUACAUACAGGUCCUUAUUUUUUCCCCCAAAAUUCAAAGGGGGCAAUUAUCCUCUCUUGCAGCCCCUGGCUACGCCACUGCGCACCGACAUACAGUGGAUCUGAAAAUUAUCGUAUUUUUUUAUACCAUUUCCUUAAUAUCAUUUGUUUUAACCUAGUCACCCAAUCCAUUGAUCCAAUUUGAGUACCUUCUAGCUAUAUAAGCCUGUAAAUUUUUUAAAAUUUAAUAUCUGAUAUUUAUGAAAUUACAGAAAAAUAAUGAAAAAUUUAAUAAUUAAAACAUAAAUUAUCCUAAAAUAUAAAUGAAGGAUAACCUAAAUCUAUUGAUCUUGAAAGCUCAAUAUAUUAUUCUUAUUCGAUUCAUCUUACAUAUAUAUUCAUUACUUUCCCGGUGAUGGUGGUUGUGGUGGUUCCAUUGUCGGUAACGUAUCAGAAUAGAGAUAAUUUUGAUAUAUCGCCCUACUGAUAUCACCUCCCAUACCUUCAUUUUUAUUUGCUUCAUCUAUCUUACUAGAGAACAUCGCCAUUAAAUCACCUGCUUCUUCAGUCCUGCUAUCACAUCUUUCCUGCAUUGUUGGAAACCUCUCGCCACCAUUCUUCAAACUUCCGAACUCAUUAUUGCUACGGUAAAUGCUCGGGUCAACGCCAGCGUAAAGGAACGAUUCAGACAUGCCAUAAUUACCUCCACCUAGGUUGGAAAUUGAAUAGCUAGUUUCUCCAACCGUAGGAUAAAUGUAAUGGGCAGUUGGAUCCAUCAUACCAGUGUAAUCAUUUCCAUAACCAUUACAGUUUCUUCCAAUCGGUAUAGUAUAUCUAUCGUUGUCUAUUCCGAGACCAGUACCACUAGAACUAGCACAAUUGAUAUCCAUACACAUCCGUUUAAUUGGUGGUUGUUGCN
This 32316-nucleotide long non-coding RNA is filed under the name Zostera marina. RNAcentral describes it as "long non-coding RNA (ZMAR_LNC004857)". The record is from RNAcentral. Lineage: Eukaryota; Viridiplantae; Streptophyta; Magnoliopsida; Alismatales; Zosteraceae.